GAUGAACGCUGGCGGCGUGCCUAAUACAUGCAAGUCGAGCGAACGGACGAGAAGCUUGCUUCUCUGAUGUUAGCGGCGGACGGGUGAGUAACACGUGGAUAACCUACCUAUAAGACUGGGAUAACUUCGGGAAACCGGAGCUAAUACCGGAUAAUAUUUUGAACCGCAUGGUUCAAAAGUGAAGGACGGUCUUGCUGUCACUUAUAGAUGGAUCCGCGCUGCAUUAGCUAGUUGGUAAGGUAACGGCUUACCAAGGCAACGAUGCAUAGCCGACCUGAGAGGGUGGUCGGCCACACUGGAACUGAGACACGGUCCAGACUCCUACGGGAGGCAGCAGUAGGGAAUCUUCCGCAAUGGGCGAAAGCCUGACGGAGCAACGCCGCGUGAGUGAUGAAGGUCUUCGGAUCGUAAAACUCUGUUAUUAGGGAAGAACAUAUGUGUAAGUAACUGUGCACAUCUUGACGGUACCUAAUCAGAAAGCCGCGGCUAACUACGUG
RNAcentral lists this ribosomal RNA (497 nucleotides) under uncultured bacterium. RNAcentral's name for it is "partial 16S ribosomal RNA". It matches the Rfam family "Bacterial small subunit ribosomal RNA", at positions 28 to 507 of the family's 1533-position model. The record is from RNAcentral.